Hibiscus syriacus is the source of this 616-nucleotide long non-coding RNA. RefSeq lists it as uncharacterized. Lineage: Eukaryota; Viridiplantae; Streptophyta; Magnoliopsida; Malvales; Malvaceae. The record is from RefSeq and is a predicted model, not a curated record. The transcript is spliced from 3 exons.
GAUAAUUUGACACAACGGUUACUAGAGAUGAAGACAGCCAGAAAGCAGUUCCCAAAUACAUCAAAUGUUAAAUGAGUCACAUAAUCGCUUCCCUGUCCAAAUUCGGAAGGAAGAACAACACUAAGAUCUAGAAAUUAGAUACAUGAGCUUUCAAGCUUCUCUAGAUGGUGAGAUAUCUUUGGGGUUGGCUUGGAAGUUUUUUUGUCAUUAUCUCCCUUGUAGUAGAUUUCUAGAUCAGUUGAAUUUCUCCUUCUGGAAGCAAUGCCCCAACCCAUGAAAUCCGAGAGUGUCGGUGCGUCUGCAGCACUCUUCGCCAUUGCGUCUUCAUCAGAGGAGAUAGAGGACCCCUCAGAUCUUUCCGGUGAUGAUAUUUGAGAAAGGCUAUCAGCAUGAAGGACAUCCUCGAUUCUCGACAUGACAUUGAACGCCAAGCUCUCUAGAAUCCUUGAAUAGCUCUCCAGGAUAGCGUGACCUACAUCCUGUGAAAUUGAAUUCCAAAUAUAUCAAGUGCAGAUUGUGGAAGUCCCGGGAAACGCUGCUUUAACAUGAUUAAUAUAGUCUCGGCCCUCUCUUCGAAGAGUUCCCUCUUUUCCAAGCUGACACCUGAACCCCAAGA